This is a non-coding RNA of Schistosoma rodhaini, 51 nucleotides long. The record is from Rfam. NCBI's taxonomy places the organism in Eukaryota, Metazoa, Platyhelminthes, Trematoda, Strigeidida, Schistosomatidae.
AUCCAGCUAGUGACGAGUCCCAAAUAGGAUGAAACGCGCGUCAAACUGGAU